GUGGGGAAUAUUGGACAAUGGGCGAAAGCCUGAUCCAGCCAUGCCGCGUGUGUGAAGAAGGUCUUCGGAUUGUAAAGCACUUUAAGUUGGGAGGAAGGGCAGUAAGUUAAUACCUUGCUGUUUUGACGUUACCGACAGAAUAAGCACCGGCUAACUUCGUGCCAGCAGCCGCGGUAAUACGAAGGGUGCAAGCGUUAAUCUGAAUUACUGGGCGUAAAGCGCGCGUAGGUGGUUUUGUAAGUUGGAGGUGAAAUCCCCGGGCUCAACCUGGGAACUGCCUCCAAAACUGCAUGACUAGAGUACGGUAGAGGGUAGUGGAAUUUCCUGUGUAGCGGUGAAAUGCGUAGAUAUAGGAAGGAACACCAGUGGCGAAGGCGACUACCUGGACUGAUACUGACACUGAGGUGCGAAAGCGUGGGGAGCAAACAGGAUUAGAUACCCCAGUAGUCC
RNAcentral lists this ribosomal RNA (450 nucleotides) under uncultured bacterium. RNAcentral's name for it is "partial 16S ribosomal RNA". It matches the Rfam family "Bacterial small subunit ribosomal RNA", at positions 354 to 796 of the family's 1533-position model. The record is from RNAcentral.